RNAcentral lists this long non-coding RNA (220 nucleotides) under Panax ginseng (ginseng). RNAcentral's name for it is "long non-coding RNA (PGIN_LNC014485)". Lineage: Eukaryota; Viridiplantae; Streptophyta; Magnoliopsida; Apiales; Araliaceae. The record is from RNAcentral.
CGAUAGUAAGAAUAUUCCAGGAUCAAACGAAUAUUUUAUAACCACUUGCUUAUUUGAAAUAUUUGCGUAUUUUACCCAUAACUAUCCACAUUAAUCAAAUCAACCCUUACUAUUUCAAAAUAAUAAAUGGAGGAAAUUCAAUUUUAUUUAUAAUAAGUUGGGGUCUUAUAGUAAUAUUAUGUAGUAACCAUGGUAAUAUUACACAGUAAACAAGUCAGCA